CCUACGGGUGGCUGCAGUGAGGAAUAUUGGUCAAUGGACGAGAGUCUGAACCAGCCAAGUAGCGUGAAGGAUGACUGCCCUAUGGGUUGUAAACUUCUUUUAUAUGGGAAUAAAAUGUUCCACGUGUGGGCUUUUGUAUGUACCAUAUGAAUAAGGAUCGGCUAACUCCGUGCCAGCAGCCGCGGUAAUACGGAGGAUCCGAGCGUUAUCCGGAUUUAUUGGGUUUAAAGGGAGCGUAGGUGGGUUGUUAAGUCAGUUGUGAAAGUUUGCGGCUGAACCGUAGAAUUGCAGUUGAAACUGGGAGUCUGGAGUACAGUAGAGGUGGGCGGAAUUCGUGGUGUAGCGGUGAAAUGCUUAGAUAUCACGAAGAACUCCGAUUGCGAAGGCAGCUCACUGGACUGCAACUGACGCUGAGGCUCGAAAGUGUGGGUAUCAAACAGGAUUAGAUACCCCAGUAGUC
Molecule: ribosomal RNA, 460 nt
Filed under: uncultured bacterium
Lineage: Bacteria
Description: partial 16S ribosomal RNA
Rfam family: Bacterial small subunit ribosomal RNA
Source: RNAcentral